RNAcentral lists this ribosomal RNA (1109 nucleotides) under Chloroflexota bacterium. Its description in RNAcentral is "bacterial LSU rRNA". It matches the Rfam family "Bacterial large subunit ribosomal RNA", at positions 1 to 1068 of the family's 2925-position model. The record is from RNAcentral. Lineage: Bacteria; Bacillati; Chloroflexota.
GGUCAAGUUAUUAAGAGUCCAUGGUGAAUGCCUUGGGGUCAAGGACUGAAGAAGGGCGUGGCAAGACUGCGAAAAGCCUCGGUCAGCCGUCUAGCGGGCUUAGCCGGGGAUUCCCGAAUUGGGAAACCAGUUCCGGGUCAUACCGGAACAUUCUGAUUUUUAUCAGAAAGGUAAGUGGGCGAACUGAAACAUCUAAGUAGCCCGAGGAAAAUAAAUCAACCGAGAUUCCCCUAGUAGUGGUGAACGAACGGGGAAUAGCCUAAACCAAACAGGCUUAACGGUCUGAGGACCUAUGUCUGAUUGGUGUUGUAACACCUACCUGCUUCAACCUCAGCAAGAAGCAAAAAGUUACAAAACCGUCUUCUAGAUGAAAGCGUCUGGAAAGAACUGCCAAAGAGGGUGAUAGCCCCGUAGUUGAAAGGAGACGGACUUUUGGUAGGCUGUUGAGUACCACGGGACACGUGGAAUCCUGUGGGAAUCUGGGGGGACCACCCUCCAAGGCUAAAUAUCCUUGACCACCGAUAGUGAACCAGUACCGUGAGGGAAAGGUGAAAAGUACCUCGAACAGAGGAGUGAAAUAGAUCCUGAAACCCUGUGUUUACAAGCAGUGGAAGCAAUACUGAUCUUCGGAUCAUGUGCGACCGCGUGCCUUUUGCAUAAUGAGCCAACGAGUUGUCUGUCGGUGGCAGGUUAAGUUUAUAACGGAGCCACAGCGAAAGCGAGUCUGAAGUGGGCGUUCGUCAUCGGCAACAGACCCGAAACCGAGUGAUCUACCCCUGUCCAGGUUGAAGCCUGGGUAAGACCAGGUGGAGGACCGAACCGCUGAGCCUUAAAACGUUCUCGGAUGAGGUGGGGGUAGGAGUGAAAGGCUAAUCAAACUCGGAAAUAGCUGGUUCUCCCCGAAAUAUAUUGAGGUAUAGCUUCGUGAUAGACCGUCGGAGGUAGAGCACUGGAUGGACUAGGGCCCCCACCAGGGUACCAAACCCAACCAAACUACGAAUGCCGAUGAGUUGUUUCACGGAAGUCAGACAGCGAGAGCUAACUUUCGUUGUCGAGAGGGAAACAACCCAGACCAUCAGCUAAGGCCCCCAAGUCAUGACUAAGUGGGA